UGAGGCCCCGUAAUCGGAAUGAGUACACUUUAAAUCCUUUAACAAGGAUCCAUUGGAGGGCAAGUCUGGUGCCAGCAGCCGCGGUAAUUCCAGCUCCAAUAGCGUAUAUUAAAGUUGUUGCGGUUAAAAAGCUCGUAGUUGGUUCUGCGUGCCGCGCUGUCGGUUCGCCGCCUGUCGGUGUAACUGGCAUGUCGCGGCAUGUCCUGUCGGUGGUGAACGGAGUCCACGACGCUACAUGGGCUUUAUAGUCGAUGUUAGCAUCGUGUGUACUUCCGUUGGCCGAUCUCUCCUACUUCGGUGCUCUUAAACGAGUGUCGAGGUAGGCCGACACGUUCACUUUGAACAAAUUAGAGUGCUUAAAGCAGGCUGAAAUAUCUGCCUGAAUAGUGGUGCAUGGAAUGAUAAAACAGGACCUCGGUUCUAUUUUGUUGGUUUUAGGAAUAUGAGGUAAUGAUCAAUGUGGACUGGCGGGGGCAUUCGUAUUGCGACGUUAGAGGUGAAAUUCUUGGAUCGUCGCAAGACGCACUAGAGCGAAAGCAUUUGCCAAGUAUGUCUUAAUUGAUCAAGAACGAAAGUUAGAGGUUCGAAGGCGAUCAGAUACCGCCCUAGUUCUAACCAUAAACGAUGCCAGCCAGCGAUCCGCCGAUGUUCCUUUAAUGACUCGGCGGGGAGCUUCCACCCGGGAAACCAAAGCUUUUGGGUUCCGGGGGAAGUAUGGUUGCAAAGCUGAAACUUAAAGGAAUUGACGGAA
This 751-nucleotide ribosomal RNA is filed under the name Triatoma guasayana. RNAcentral describes it as "SSU rRNA". It matches the Rfam family "Eukaryotic small subunit ribosomal RNA", at positions 496 to 1161 of the family's 1831-position model. Lineage: Eukaryota; Metazoa; Arthropoda; Insecta; Hemiptera; Reduviidae. The record is from RNAcentral.